UAUUACUAAUGUGAAAUACUGUUUAAUAUACUAUGAUAUCAUCAAAUGCGUGUCAAGCGUAUUGAAAACUAAAAUAUAAUUUUAUUGAAUUCCAUAUUAAGGAAAAACCCGCAUCGGUAGACUUUUUUUAAAUGGCAAGUUUUCGUGAACUGGACAUAAGUGAAUUUUAAUUUUAGUACACAUCAAGUUCGCCGUAUGUCAGAGAAGUCGGACAUUCGAGUUUUAUACAAUAAUUUUAUUAAGUGUUAUAGUGAAAAUAGUUUUGUGUAAAAAGUAACAAUGGUAGGGGAUUUCUUUGUUGUGUUAACAUCAUGUCUAUUUAUAGUUUUCGUUAACGGAUGGACUGUAUUUCCCUUACCAAACACUCCGUACCAGCCUCAUGCAACUCCUGCGUUACAACCGACAUGGCAGAAACCAAACUGGUACCAGAAUUGGAACCAGCCGUCGGCCCAGCCGUGUGUAGAAGGUUCAACGGCAUCUCCAAUAAUUGCACCGGGUUCUAUCCCGUCACCCGCCUUACCACUUAUAGUACCUAAAAAGCCUUCAAGAUCGCAAGUAUCUGUCAUGAGUACGGAUGAAUAUUUGACACCAACAGCUGUCCUAACCUCUCCCCAAUACAUGUCAACUUGGGAACCCUAUUAAAUAAAGACAGCACAAUAAAUACCAGAAUGAUGGAGUUUUAUUGUACUUUAAAUUAAGAGACUAGAAGAACGCAUCAACCCCAGACAUGCAAUUUUAUAACAAUUUCAAUGUUUGUAUUAUAUAUUUUUAAAAGCAAUUAGUUUAAAAUUUGUUACAAUCUUUUGCUUCUUAAGCUAUCAAUAAAAACUGUUGAACA
Molecule: long non-coding RNA, 838 nt
Organism: Papilio xuthus (Asian swallowtail)
Lineage: Eukaryota; Metazoa; Arthropoda; Insecta; Lepidoptera; Papilionidae
Exons: 2
Source: RefSeq, a predicted model, not a curated record